Molecule: long non-coding RNA, 226 nt
Filed under: Zonotrichia albicollis (white-throated sparrow)
Lineage: Eukaryota; Metazoa; Chordata; Aves; Passeriformes; Passerellidae
Description: lncRNA (ENSZALG00000007638.1)
Source: RNAcentral
AACCUGGAGGAGAUCUGGGGUCACCAAGGUGGGACCUGGAGAAGGUUUGGGGUCACCAAGGUGGGACCUGGAGGACCUGGAGAACAUUGAGGGGCACCAAGGUGGGACCUGGUGGAGAUCUGAGGUCACCAAGGUGGGACCUGGAGAAGGUUUGGGGUCACCAAGGUGGGACCUGAUGGACAUUGGGGUCACCAAGGUGGGACCUGGAGAAGGUUUGCGGUCACCA